RNAcentral lists this ribosomal RNA (466 nucleotides) under uncultured bacterium. RNAcentral's name for it is "partial 16S ribosomal RNA". It matches the Rfam family "Bacterial small subunit ribosomal RNA", at positions 28 to 507 of the family's 1533-position model. The record is from RNAcentral.
GAUGAACGCUGGCGGCGUGCUUAACACAUGCAAGUCGAACGGAAAGGCCACAGCUUGCUGUGGUACUCGAGUGGCGAACGGGUGAGUAACACGUGGGUGAUCUGCCCUGUACUUCGGGAUAAGCUUUGGAAACUGGGUCUAAUACCGGAUAGGAAUCACAUGUGGGUGUGUGGUUGGAAAGCUUUUGCGGUAUGGGAUGAGCUCGCGGCCUAUCAGCUUGUUGGUGGGGUAAUGGCCUACCAAGGCGUCGACGGGUAGCCGGCCUGAGAGGGUGUACGGCCACAUUGGGACUGAGAUACGGCCCAGAAUCCUACGGGAGGCAGCAGUGGGGAAUAUUGCACAAUGGGCGCAAGCCUGAUGCAGCGACGCCGCGUGGGGGAUGACGGCCUUCGGGUUGUAAACUCCUUUCGUCAGGGACGAAGCGAAAGUGACGGUACCUGGAUAAGAAGCACCGGCUAACUACGUG